CGGGGUAAAGGCCCACCAAGACUAUGAUCUGUAGGGGCCUUGAGAGAGGUAGCCCCGAGAAGGGUACUGAGGUACUGACCCUAGCCCUACGGGGUGCAGCAGGCGCGAAAACUUUACAAUGCACUAACGUGUGAUAAGGGGAUUCUAAGUGCUCAUACACAGUAUGGGCUUUUUUCAAGACUAAAUAUCUUGAAGAAUAAGUGGUGGGUAAGACCGGUGCCAGCCGCCGCGGUAACACCGGCGCCACGAGUGGGAGUCGAUUUUAUUGGGCCUAAAGCGUCCGUAGUCGGUUAGAUGAAUUUCUUGUGAAAUCAUUGGGCUUAACCUAAUGGCGUGCAGGAAACACUGUCAAACUUGGGACCGGGAGGAGCGUGAGGUAUUCCUUGGGGAGCGGUAAAAUGUUAUAAUCCUUGGAGGACCACCUGUGGCGAAGGCGUCACACUAGAACGGAUCCGACGAUGAGGGACGAAAGCUAGGGGAGCGAUCCGGAUUAGAUACCCGAGUAGUCCUAGCCGUAAACUCUGCGAGUUAGGUGUUGCACAUUCCUAGAGAAUGUGCAGUAUCGUAGUGAAGACGUUAAACUCGCCGCCUGGGGAGUACGGUCGCAAGGCUGAAACUUAAAGGAAUUGGCGGGGGAG
Molecule: ribosomal RNA, 638 nt
Filed under: uncultured archaeon
Lineage: Archaea
Description: bacterial SSU rRNA
Rfam family: Archaeal small subunit ribosomal RNA
Source: RNAcentral